UUCCGGUUGAUCCUGCCGGACCUGACUGCUAUCGGAUUGAUACUAAGCCAUGCGAGUCAUUGUAGCAAUACAAGGCAGACGGCUCAGUAACGCGUAGUCAACCUAACCUAUGGACGGGAAUAACCUCGGGAAACUGAGAAUAAUGCCCGAUAGAACACUAUACCUGGAAUGGUUUGUGUUCCAAAUGAUUUAUCGCCGUAGGAUGGGACUGCGGCCUAUCAGUCUGUUGGUGAGGUAAUGGCCCACCAAGACUAUUACAGGUACGGGCUCUGAGAGGAGUAGCCCGGAGAUGGGUACUGAGACACGGACCCAGGCCCUAUGGGGCGCAGCAGGCGAGAAAACUUUGCAAUGUGCGAAAACACGACAAGGUUAAUCCGAGUGAUUUGUGCUAAACGAAUCUUUUGUUAGUCCUAGAAACACUAACGAAUAAGGGGUGGGCAAGUUCUGGUGUCAGCCGCCGCGGUAAAACCAGCACCUCAAGUGGUCAGGAUGAUUAUUGGGCCUAAAGCAUCCGUAGCCGGCUCUGUAAGUUUUCGGUUAAAUCUGUACGCUUAACGUACAGGCUGCCGGGAAUACUGCAGAGCUAGGGAGUGGGAGAGGUAGACGGUACUCGGUAGGAAGGGGUAAAAUCCUUUGAUCUAUUGAUGACCACCUGUGGCGAAGGCGGUCUACCAGAACACGUCCGACGGUGAGGGAUGAAAGCUGGGGGAGCAAACCGGAUUAGAUACCCGGGUAGUCCCAGCUGUAAACUAUGCAAACUCAGUGAUGCAUUGACUUGUGGUCAAUGCAGUGCUGCAG
RNAcentral lists this ribosomal RNA (798 nucleotides) under uncultured archaeon. RNAcentral describes it as "bacterial SSU rRNA". It matches the Rfam family "Archaeal small subunit ribosomal RNA", at positions 1 to 806 of the family's 1478-position model. The record is from RNAcentral.